GGCUUUUAGUUAUUUUUUUUUUUUAAAUUAACGGUCAAUUGGAUGAAAAAUUGGAAGUAGGGACCAAAUUUUAGGAUUUGCCAAAUUUUAGAGACUAAAUUGCUUAGUUUUGAAAAUACAAAAACUAAGUUUUAAAUUUUGUCAAACCUUAGAAACUAAAUUGUAAUUUACCUUGUUAUUUUUUAAAUGAAACUCUCUUUCCUGAAAUGAUAAAUCAUAAUAUUUCAAUUGUUUAGUUCUAAAAGUAUUUUGUACAUCAUCUUUUUAUA
Molecule: unclassified non-coding RNA, 269 nt
Filed under: Hevea brasiliensis (rubber tree)
Lineage: Eukaryota; Viridiplantae; Streptophyta; Magnoliopsida; Malpighiales; Euphorbiaceae
Source: RNAcentral